AAGUCAGGGGGCGGGGCCGGGGGGGGGGGGCGGAGGAGGUGGAGAGUGAGGCCGAGGCGUGGGGAGCCCGGGAACUCCCUCCUCCUGAAGUAACGCGUCCCGGGCCGGCUCUGCCGUCGUUGCUGCCGCCGGGCGCCCCGGGACGAGGAGGUGGAGGAGGGAGAGGGCCCGCGGGCCUCGCCUCCGCCCUCCGCCACCUCGAGCUGCGGUAGCAGCGACUCAUGAGAGCGCGGCCGGAGGACAGCGUUGAUGCCUUACCUGGACAUUUCGAGGCUAAAGCAGUUGUUGAACUCCAGAGCAUUAUCAAGUCUUCACAGCUUAAAAACAGAUUUGAUAAUGGGCUGCAUUAAAAGUAAAGAAAACAAAAGUCCAGCCAUUAAAUACAGACCUGAAAAUACUCCAGAGCCUGUCAGUACAAGUGUGAGCCAUUAUGGAGCAGAACCCACUACAGUGUCACCAUGUCCGUCAUCUUCAGCAAAGGGAACAG
This 487-nucleotide long non-coding RNA is filed under the name Homo sapiens (human). RNAcentral describes it as "non-protein coding lnc-ENOSF1-4:3". The record is from RNAcentral. Lineage: Eukaryota; Metazoa; Chordata; Mammalia; Primates; Hominidae.